Amphiprion ocellaris (clown anemonefish) is the source of this 384-nucleotide long non-coding RNA. Lineage: Eukaryota; Metazoa; Chordata; Actinopteri; Pomacentridae. The record is from Ensembl.
GCUGAAGUGAAUGCAGAGAGAGAGGAGGGGAAAGCAGAGCACAAGCGAAAGAAGGUUAGCCAGCAGCGAGUGAAGAAAAUGGCGAUCACGCAGGAUGAAUGCCUCCCCUCGUAGAUGCUGCAAACGCGUUGAAUUUCUUUAGCCUUACAGUCGGCUUUCCUUUCCACUCUGUUGCACUUUAUACUUCAAUGAGAGAUUAGGAAUUGGAAGCUGUUGCCACCAAAGAAACUGAAGCAUCUUAACAGGGAACACACCCACAGAGGGAAGAACAGUGGAUGGAAGAGAGAGAGAGACGGAGAGUGUGACAAGGAAGGAGGAUAAGAAGAUACGGGACUGGACAAAAGGUGGUUAAGCAGCUUCUGGCAGGCAGUAUGUCUAGAUGCU